RNAcentral lists this ribosomal RNA (492 nucleotides) under uncultured bacterium. RNAcentral's name for it is "partial 16S ribosomal RNA". It matches the Rfam family "Bacterial small subunit ribosomal RNA", at positions 29 to 507 of the family's 1533-position model. The record is from RNAcentral.
AGUGAACGCUGGCGGCAGGCCUAACACAUGCAAGUCGAACGGCACCACACUAAGAGCUUGUUCUUACGAGUGGCGAGUGGCGGACGUGUGAGGCGUACGUCGGACUCUACUUUUUCGUGGGGGAUAACGUAGGGAAACUUACACUAAUACCUCAUACUACCUACUGGUGACACCAUGCCACAUUCGGACCUUGCGCGAUUGAAUGAGCCGAUGUCGGAUUCGCUAGUUGGCGGGCUAAUGGCCCACUAAGGCGACGAUCCGUAGAUGAUCUGAAAGGAAGUUCAGCCACACUGGAACUGAGACACGGUCCAGACUCCUACGGGGGGCAGCAGUGGGGAAUAUUGGACAAUGGGGGCAAGCCUGAUCCAGCCAUACCGCGUGAGUGAAGAAGGCCUGCGGGUUGUAAAGCCCUUUUGUUGGGAAGGAAAAGCAGCAGGUUAAUACCCCGCUGUUCUGACGGUACCCAAAGAAGAAGCACCGGCUAACUUCGUG